RNAcentral lists this ribosomal RNA (253 nucleotides) under uncultured bacterium. Its description in RNAcentral is "partial 16S ribosomal RNA". It matches the Rfam family "Bacterial small subunit ribosomal RNA", at positions 524 to 776 of the family's 1533-position model. The record is from RNAcentral.
GACAGAGGUGCCAAGCGUUAGGCGGAAUCACUGGGCUUAAAGCGUGUGUAGGCGGACUUGUAAGUACCUUGUGAAAUCCCACGGCUCAACUGUGGAACUGCUUGGUAUACUGCUUGUCUUGAGCCACUUAGGGGCUACCGGAACAAAUGGUGGAGCGGUGAAAUGCGUAGAUAUCAUUUGGAACGCCAAUGGUGAAAACAGGUAGCUGGGAGUGUGCUGACGCUGAGACACGAAAGCCAGGGGAGCGAACGGG